This 157-nucleotide long non-coding RNA is filed under the name Ictidomys tridecemlineatus (thirteen-lined ground squirrel). RNAcentral describes it as "lncRNA (ENSSTOG00000031964.1)". The record is from RNAcentral. Lineage: Eukaryota; Metazoa; Chordata; Mammalia; Rodentia; Sciuridae.
UUCAUCAUGGAGUUGAACGCAGGCAAGCCUCCUGCUUUGCAUUCCCAGCCUCGGUGCUGAACCAAGGCCAAGGCAAUAAGAUCUCUGUGUUGUGUCCUGGAGGACAGCAGUCCUUGCGCAUCAUGGGGCAGGACCACCUCAGUACCCUGGCAUCUCC